AUGAAACUUCAAAGUCGGCUUGGUUGUCUGUGCUGGUGGAGACACAUGUGCACGUCGACAAAGUCGCAAACCCCACACACCUGUGCAUCUAUGACUCUGAGUACCGCUUGCAUGGGCCGUCAAACGCCCUGGUACUCGAGUAACUUUCACACACUCUGAAUGUAAUGGAAUGUCUAUUGUACAAUGUACAACCAAAAACAACUUUCAACAACGGAUCUCUUGGCUCUCGCAUCGAUGAAGAACGCAGCGAAAUGCGAUAAGUAAUGUGAAUUGCAGAAUUCAGUGAAUCAUCGAAUCUUUGAACGCACCUUGCACCCUUUGGUAUUCCGAAGGGUACACCCGUUUGAGUGUCAUUGUAAUCUCACUACAACCGCUUUUUUGUGGUUGCAUGUGGACUUGGAUGUUGCUGUGUCACAAACAGCUCGUCUGAAAUGCCUGAGUGUACCCCUGCUUUGCGGCGUAUUCGGUGUGAUAAAUCUUCACCGGAGUUGACCCUCAGGGUCACGUCUGCUUGACAUGGCUCUAUGCUUCCAACUGUCCAGACAAGACAAUCUUUGACAA
This 561-nucleotide unclassified non-coding RNA is filed under the name uncultured Serendipita. RNAcentral's name for it is "sequence contains ITS1, 5.8S rRNA gene, ITS2". The stretch from base 200 to 353 matches the Rfam family "5.8S ribosomal RNA". Lineage: Eukaryota; Fungi; Basidiomycota; Agaricomycetes; Sebacinales. The record is from RNAcentral.